UAACACAUGCAAGUCGAGCGGAUGACGGGAGCUUGCUCCUUGAUUCAGCGGCGGACGGGUGAGUAAUGCCUAGGAAUCUGCCUGGUAGUGGGGGACAACGUUUCGAAAGGAACGCUAAUACCGCAUACGUCCUACGGGAGAAAGCAGGGGACCUUCGGGCCUUGCGCUAUCAGAUGAGCCUAGGUCGGAUUAGCUAGUUGGUGGGGUAAUGGCUCACCAAGGCGACGAUCCGUAACUGGUCUGAGAGGAUGAUCAGUCACACUGGAACUGAGACACGGUCCAGACUCCUACGGGAGGCAGCAGUGGGGAAUAUUGGACAAUGGGCGAAAGCCUGAUCCAGCCAUGCCGCGUGUG
RNAcentral lists this ribosomal RNA (354 nucleotides) under uncultured Enterobacter sp. Its description in RNAcentral is "bacterial SSU rRNA". It matches the Rfam family "Bacterial small subunit ribosomal RNA", at positions 49 to 405 of the family's 1533-position model. Lineage: Bacteria; Pseudomonadati; Pseudomonadota; Gammaproteobacteria; Enterobacterales; Enterobacteriaceae. The record is from RNAcentral.